CAGAUGGUAGAGAGGCGAGACCUGGGUUCAGGGGCCAAGGGCAUCCUUCAGGGCUGCACCCUUUCACCAACAGGGUCCUGCCACCAGCUGGGACCCUCCUGCCUCCCCACGGGUCUUCCUGGGAGAAUCCCACCUGGAGGCUGCAGUAACCUGCUUAGGGCUUGCUUCAUCUUCCCCCAUCUACCUGCUCCUGUCAAGUGUGUGCAAGCUACUUCAGGAACGCAGUGCAGUUGCUUGCCAUGGGACUGACUGUGAAGCAUGGGCAGCUGCUACCAUGCUAAGACUGAAACUAUCCACAGCUCACCAUCCAAACCUGCUGCAGGAGACUCCUGAGUGCCAAAACAGAUCCAUCAGAUUCUUCCAGUAUAAAUGAUGUGUAGGUAGGCAGAGAUUUCUCUUGUUCUUCCUACUCUGCUGUCUUCCCAGAAUCCUCUGCCCCAUUGAUUUUUCUAACAAUUCAAUUUGAUGUAUUUUCAGCCUUACAGCAAAGCUACAAUAGUAUGAGAAACUCCCCCCAAUGCUGUCUUAAUUCAUUUUUACUCAUAUAACAGAAUAUCUGAGACUGGAUAAUUUAUUUGAAAUAUUUGCUUCUCAGGGCUGCACUGUGGCAUAGCAGGUAAAGCUGCCGCCUGCAGUGCUGGCAUCCCAUAUGGGGUGCCAGUUCAAGUCCCGGCUGCUCCACUUCUGAUCCAGCUCUCUGCUAUGGCCUGGGAAAGCAGUGGAAGAUGGCCCAAGUCCUUGGGCCCUGCACCCACAUGGGAGACCCUGAAGAAGCUCCUGGCUCCUGGUUUCAGAUCAGCCCAGCUCUGGCCAUUGUGGCCAACUGGGGAAUGAACCAGUGGAUGGAAGACCUUUCUCUCUCUCUCUCUCUCUCUCUCUCUCUCUCUCUGCCUCUGCCUCUCUGUAACUCUGCCUUUCAAAUAAAUACUGGGGUACCCCAGAGAUUGGCACUGGCAUCUGGUGGGGGCCUUCUUAUGGCAUGGUGACAUGGCAGAGAGCAUUCCAUGGUGACAGGGCUACUAAUGCCAUCAUGGAGCCUCACGCUCCUGAUCUCAUUAAUCUCAAACACCUUCCUAAAGUGCCAAUUCUAACAUAUAAAAUUGGAGAUUAAAUAUCGAACAUGUGAAUUUUAGGGGAUACGCAUAAAUCAUAGCAUGGAUUUUGUUUGGAUUCAUCAAUUGUUUAUAUUUGCAUUUUAUGUAUUACCUCCCCACAUAUGUUAUAUUUUAUGAAUAUUUUAAAGUGAAUCGGGGAUACCAUGCCUUCAACAUUUUAGGAUAUACUCAUAUUUCCUGUGAAAAAGAACACUCUUUUAUAAAACCUCAGGACAUGGAUCAAAAUCAGAAAUUUAACAUUGGGGCCAACAUUGUAAAGUCACCAACUAUGACAAUGGCAUCCCAUAUGGGUGCCAGUUUGAAUCUCGGCUGCACCACUUCCAGUCCAGCUCCCUGCUAAUGGCCUGGGAAAAGCAGCAGAAGAUGGUCCAAGGGCUUGGGCCUCUGUACCAACAUGGGAGCCUGCAAGAAUCCCCCAGCUUUGGUCUAGCCUGGCCCUGGCUGUGUGGCUCUCUGGUGAGUUAACCGGUGCAUGGAAGAUCUCUCUUUGUCUCUGUCUCUGUCUCUCUCCAUCUCUCUGUCUCUGUGGAACUCUGGCAUUCAAAUAAGUAAAUAAAUAUUUUUAAAAAGAAAUUUAACAUUGAUAAAAUGGUAUUCUUGUUCUAAUUUUAUUUACUUAUUUGGAAGGCAAAGUGAUAGAAAGAUCUUUCAUCUGUUGUGUCUGCAACAGCCUGGACUGAGCCAGGUUGAAGCCAAGAGCCAGGAACUCCAUCCAAUUCUGUGUGAGUAGCAGGAACCCAAGCACUUGGGCCGUCCUCUGCUGCCUCCCAGAACAUACAUUUGCAAGAAAUGGUUGGAAACAGAAGUGGGACUUGAAGCCAGGACUCCAAUAUGAAAUGUCUGCAUUCCAAGUGGUGGCUUAACCCAUUGUGCCACAAACACCCACUCUGAUAAAAUGGCUUCCUAAUCCAGAAUUUACACUGACAUUUCAUCAAUUGACUAAUAUUUGUCUUUGCAGCAAUUUCUUCCACAUUUAAGCAUCCAGUACAGAAUCAUGCAGAGCAUUUUAUUUAUUUAUUUAUUUAUUGACAGGCAGAGUGGACAGUGAGAGAGACAGAGAGAAAGGUCUUCUUUGCCAUAGGUUCACCCUCCAAUGGCCGCCACGGCCGGCGCGCUGUGGCUGGCACACUGCGCUGAUCCAAAGGCAGGAGCCAGGUACUUCUCCUGGUCUCCCAUGGGGUGCAGGGCCCAAGCACUUGGGCCAUCCUCCACUGCACUUCCCUGGCCACAGCAGAGAGCUGGCCUGGAAGAGGGGCAACCGGGACAGAAUCCGGCGCCCCGACCGGGACUAGAACCCGGUGUGCCUGCACCGCUAGGCGGAGGAUUAGCCUAGUGAGCCGCAGCGCCGGCUGGUAUUGCAGUCUUUUUUAAGAUUUAUUUAUUUGAAAGGUAGCAUGACAGAGAGAGAUUGGGGACACAGAGAGAUCUUUCGUAUGCUGGUUCAUUCCCCAGAUGGUUACAGCAGCCUGGAUUGGGCCAGCCCACAGCCAGGAGCCUGAAACUCCACUCAGAUCUUUCACAUGGGUGGUAGAGGCCCAAGUACUCAGGUCAUCUUCUCCUGCCUUCCCAGGAACGUUGGUGGGAGAUGGAAUUGGAAGCAGAGCAGCUGAAACUCAAGCUGGCAAAAUGAUAGGGGAAUCCUAGGUUGCCAGCGCUGUGCCAAAAGGCUGGCCCCACAGUAUUGAGUCUUUUUUUUUUUUUUUUUGACAGGCAGAGUGGACAGUGAGAGAGAGAGACAGAGAGAAAGGUCUUCCUUUUUGCCGUUGGUUCACUCUCCAAUGGCUGCUGCAGCCAGCACGCUGCGGCCAGCACAUUGCGCUGAUCCGAAGCCAGGAGCAAGGUACUUAUCCUGGUCUCCCAUGGGGUGCAGGGCCCAAGCACUUGGGCCAUCCUCCACUGCACUCCCUGGCCACAGCAGAGAGCUGGCCUGGAAGAGGGGCAACUGGGACAGAAUCCGGCGCCCCGACUGGGACUAGAACCCGGUGUACCUGCGCCACAAGGCGGAGGAUUAGCCUAUUGAGCCACGGCGCCGGCCAGUAUUGAGUCUUGAUUACAAUUCUUCCAGUAAGAUCUAUUCAGAAACAUUAAGUCCUCCAACCCUAUCCUGCCCUUUCAAUCUGGUGUUGGAUAUUCUAAAUCCUUUGCUUUUUUCAUGUAAAUUUUACAGAGUGCUUAUCACUCCACCAAGCCCAGGGCAGACAUGGCUGAACGUUUUCUUGUCUGCUCCAACCCUCGCUUCACUGAAGCAGAGACGAAAGCCCUGGGAGAGAUGUUGGGAUUGAGAUGUGAGUCAGUCAACCCUGAGGCUUAGCUCUGGGUUGUCCUGCGUAGCUGUACACAGGCAGGCUGGCUUUGGUGACACAAGCCCUGCCCCUGAAAGUGAAGUGGGGGCAUAGGGGCAGGCACCACAGAUUCUCCCUGCAUCCCCUGCACAUGGAAGCCCCAGCCCCAGAACACCUGCCUCGGUUCCUACUCAGCCAUUCCCAGGGUCUCUGCAUUCCUGGGCAGGUGUUUGCCCUGAACAGCUUCAUCCUGUGGCAAGAGGGAAAGGUGGUGGCUGGUGGGAGGACAGGUCCCAGCAAGAGCGGGAAGGAGUCGGCACCACCUGGCCACAGCGGGGUGCGCUGGCUGUGAGGUCCCAGUCUGCAUCCUGCUCACCCUCUCUGUCUCCCUUCCACCACCCUCCUCCACCUCUGCCUCCCCCCUUGUGUGAGGGGAAUGCAGCCAGGGCCCAUGCACUGAGCCUCCCUCUCUCGCCUCCUCCUCCCAGCACCCACCUGGCCCUGCCGCUGGGCUCCUGUAGUCUGCCCAGUGGGUGGGAGCCCCUGCAGACAGGGUUGUGGCUUAGGUGGCUCCAUUCACCCAGAGCGCACACUUGGUGCUUUGGUGAAGGACCUGGAGCUGGUGCUCAGUGUUACUGCAUGAACAGACGAACAAGUGAAUCAAAGUGAAGGAGUGAACAGACAUAACCCCAUGCCUGCUGGAUCCCCUGAAAGACGGCAGGGUGGUAGUGGUGCAGGCAUGGAACCCCACAGCCCUGUGCCUGCUGGAUCCCCUGAAAGACUGCAGGGUGGUGGUGGGGCAGGCAUGGAACCCCACAGCCCCGUGCCUGCUGAUCCCCUGAAAGACGGCAGAGUGGUGGUGGUGCAGACAUAGAACCCCACAGCCCCGUGCCUGCUGAUCCCCUGAAAGACGGCAGAGUGGUGGUGGUGCAGGCAUGGAACCCCACAGCCCCGUGCCUGCUGGAUCCCCUGAAAGACGGCAGGGUGGUGGUGGUGCAGACAUGGAACCCAGAACCGGGAGGCGGAGUCAGUUGCUGGCUGACUGCAGGCUGGGGCUGCCCUCCCAUGCCAGGCCUUAGGCUGCUCACCUGCCCAGGGAGGAGGUGCUACAGCUUAGAGCCCCUGUGUGUGCUUCACUGUGCCUGGGCCCCCAGCCACCUGAAGCUGAUGGGGGGAGAGGAGGGGCUGGGGGACUGGGUCUGGAAGGCGCACAGAGCUGUGUGCCUGGUGGGUUCAGGGGAGGACGGUGGUGUUGGAGAGAGCAUCCUGCAAAGAUUUUCCAAACAGGAAGGCGGGAUUUAAAAUGCAAAGUUCCCAGAAAAUGUACAUGUGCUGUGCACGUGCACACACAGUACAUGCUCACGCCUUGUCUUCCCCAGUCUCUGUCUCCCGUCCACCCACAAGGCGGUUCUUCAGGGAGAAGCUGCCGCCCUGCCCUUACCAGGCCAGCUCUCUGCUGUGGCCAGGGAGUGCAGUGGAGGAUGGCCCAAGUCCUUGGGCCCUGCACCCUCAUGGGAGACCAGGAGAAGCACCUGGCUCCUGGCUUCGGAUCAGCACAGUGCGCCGGCCGCAGCGCUCUGGCUGCAGCAGCCAUUGGAGGGUGAAGCAACGAGAGGAUUUGGGGGUCUCCAGCAGCACCCCCUCCCAGGCUAUGCACCUGGCCCUGCAGGGGCCUCCAACCAGAAUGGGCCGGUCCCUGACCAGUGCUGAGACUGCCCCAGCUGCUGCUCAGCCUCCACACACCCCACGUGGAACUGUUUUCUGCUGCUGCCUUUGACAGAUAAGUAAACUGAGGUUCACAAGGGUGCCCAACAUGCACCGGGCACUUAUAGCCACCUAAUCCUUGGGCUGAGGCUUCCCUGUUCAGCCCUGUUAGAGAGGUCACCUCCUCCAGGAAGCCCUCUUGGCAAACAGCCUGGAAGACCCUGGCCUGAGGCAUGUGGGUGCUGGGGCAGGCAGAGCAGGGAGUCCAGGGCCACCCCAUCUUCUUUGCUGACCGAUGUGAAGGAAGCAGCCAUGCCAGCUCCACGGAGUGGUGGGGAGCAGCAAGUGCAGAGGCCUGGGGCAGGAAGGGGCUGGGAUUGGCAGGACACGCCCACAUGGCUACAGGGUGCAGAGGGGUGGGGGUGGGGGGGGCCAGAGGGACUCUGCAAGGUCGCAUGGGGCUUCCUGUAUGUUUCCCAUCAUGCAGAGCUCCAGGCCACCUGCUCCAGACAUGACUGCCCAUCCCCCAGGUCUCUGAGAUCCCUGUCUCACUCAGCGGCCGGAGAAAGCAUUUUGGCUGCCAGGCCUUCCUGUGGUCCCAGGCCACAGUCAGGACAGCGCCCUCGGGUUUUAGGGUCUGGGACACCAGCAGCCACGGCUGGCUGGGCUGGGCCGUGAGCCUCUGUGGUUUGUAGGUUUCUGCUUCCCCAGCUCCUGUGUCUCCCUGGAGCACAGUGGGGAGACAGAGAGGGACUCCGUGCAGGCCCAGAACUGCCCACUGCGUGGGGCGGGUGCAGCGUCCAGGCUCCCGACCUGGCUGUGCCCGACAUAGGGAACCCAGUUUCUGCCUCACUGAGGCAGGAGACAAUAAUCCGGGUCAGGGACGAGAGACUUGUAAGAGGCCAUAUAGUCAGCGUAUAGGUUUGUGGGCCUCGUGGUUUCUGCCCCCUGGGUCAAAGCAGCCAUGGACAGUACGUGGUGUGGCUCCGUCCCAGUGGUGGUAGGCAGAACUGGGCUACCCCUAUCUAGGUGACCUGGCCAUGGUAUUAACCAGGACACCUGAGAUCGCCAAGCACCAGAAUCCCUGUCCCAGCUGGCUUCAGGCUCAGCCUCCCCUAGGGCAAAAGGGCUUAUUGGGCCAUGAAAGGGAGAAGUGCCACUAGGACUUCAGGCACAGCUGGAUCCAGGAGCUCUAGUGGUUGUAUUGAGACCCAUCACACCCAGGUUUCACGCUUGCCCUGACCACAUGUAUCCCUGUUUCAGCUUCACUGGGUUCAGGCCCUCCUGUCGCGAGGACGACACAGCUGUGAGCAGUGGAAGUCCCAGGCUCACCCCGGACUGGCCAGGCCUGUGGCUCGUGCCCACCUCACAGCAGCACCCUCCCCAGGGUCAAUGUCACCCUGUGGUUUGGCCUCAUGGGACUGGUGCCUCAUCGACUGGGUUUGGGACUCCCCAUGGGGCAGGCACCUAUGUGUACCACAGUAGUCAGAGCAGCCCUGGCACUGGACACCUCGGAAGUCCACGUGGCCCCCAGGUAGACAGUCGGCGCUCUUCCCAGUGUCCCUGCUCCUCCCUGGGUCAUCGCAGCCUCCUCAUACCUCCCAGGCCCACGCACUCCCUGUGGAGCCCACACUGUGCUCCAUCACCCACCAGCCUCCAGCCGCUGCCACCAGAGCCAGGUCCUAGGGCUCCAUGAGCACCCGGGGCCCCCACGGUCUCUCCUCAGCCUGGACUUGCUAGACAGAGUCUGUGUCAACAGGGACGUUCAAAGCUGUGUGACCUACAGCAAAUCCGUCUCUGUGCCCUCAGCCUCCUCACCUGGAACUUGGGGGUCCUAAGAAACCUGGGUCACUUCUAAAGUACAAAAUCCCACAGAAACACGGGUGUCCCUGUACCUCGAGCUACGCCUUCCUCCAGGCUGCAGUCACAAUUCCUGCUCCAGCGGCUCCGCCCCCUCCUCCCACAGGCCCCACCCAGAUAGGCGUGGCAGCCCCAGGUGCCUCACCCACCCUGCUCUGUCUCCUGCACCCACACUUGCCGCUGCCUGAGGGGUUGUCCCAGGCUGUCCCUGCAGGUGCCUGGGCUCGGUGCUGUCCCCAGGUGAUGCCCCCGCUGCUGGGCCAGUGCUAAGGAAUGUCCUCUCUCCCUUUCCAGUGCACCUGUCCCCUGUGGCCAGCCAGGGCCACCCCUUCCUCUGACUGUGUCCUUUUUUUAAUUUUUUAUUUAUUUUUUUAAUUUUUUGACAGGCAGAGUGGACAGUGUGAGAGAGAGACAGAGAGAAAGUUCUUUCUUUGCCUUUUGUUCACUUUCCAAUGGACGCUGUGGCCAGCACACUGCGGCCGGCACACCAUGCUGAUCCGAAGGCAGGAGCCAGGUGCUUAUCCUUGUCUCCCAUGGGGUGCAGGGCCCAAGCACUUGGGCCAUCCUCCACUGCACUCCCUGGCCACAGCAGAGAGCUGGCCUGGAAGAGGGGCAGCCGGGACAGAAUCCAGCGCUCCGACCGGGACUAGAACCUGGUGUUUCGGCGCCGCAAGGCGGAGGAUUAGCCUAGUGAGCCACGGCACCGGGCCUGACUGUGUCUUGAGUCCCAUUCAUUUUCUCCCCAAGCAGUGAACCGCUGUCACCUGUCAGCCUGCAGCCAACAGAGGUCACGUGUGUUUUCCCGUCACCUCAUGGCUGCCAUGGAAGUCCCUGCAGCGCUGUCUCCAUGCAGAGUGGCUUCAAAGCUGUGGUGACCACAGCCAGCGCUGGCUCCUGCCAUCGGAUGGGCUCACGCAGGAGCGUCUGCGCGUCUAGGGCAUGAUGUCCACCCGUAGCGUGUAUUCGUAGCUGUUCUGUCCUCACCUUGUGCGUGGGAUCUCAGCGUUGAGAGCUGGUCCUGAGCAGGGCCAAGCCUCGCAGGAGCACACAGAAGGUCCACGGCACCCAGCUCAGUGAGGUCGGUUAGACGGCAGUAUUCCCCCCAGCCUCUCCUCCACUCACCUCCCCACCUGGCCGCAUGCAGCUAAUGGGACCAGCCACACUCACGCCUGGUCCUUGCCAGCCCUGGCUUGGUGCCUCUUGAAGUACAAAGCAGGUGGCCAUUGGGUCCAGUGGGAACGGGCCCUGCCAUCCGCCCCCCUCUCAGUUCAGCAGGACUGGGGCAGGUCCGUGCAGGUCCCACACCUCCCGCCAAGCACGCAGGGUGGUUCCCUGGGAAGUGCCUGUGGCUCACCCACCUGGGAACGACGAGGACCACAGGAGAAGCCUGGCCUUUGCCUCCCUCUGGUCUCUGCAGGGGAGCUGGCCUAGAACCCACUGCCCCAGCCCCAAGACAGGGCGUGCAGCCUCUGGGACACUCACAGCCUCUCUCGGUCUCCAUGAGCAGCCAGGAGUGCAUGCAGAGGUCUCCUCUGGGACAUGUGGCUUUGGAACACAGCACAGAGGACACUGGUGGGGGCCGGGGGGCCAGGGGAGAGAGAGGGAGAACAUGGGUGUCUGGGCAGUGGGCUGCCUGGGAUGCCAACAUCCUAUAUGGGAAUAUCUGGUCCAGUCCUGGCUGCUCUGCUUCUAAGCCAAGUUCCUGCUAAUGAGCAUCCCAGUGGGGCGCAGGUGAUGGCUCAAGUAAUGGGGUACCUGCCACCCACAUGGGAGACUUGGGUUGAGUUCCAGGCUCCUGGCUUUGGCUUGGCCCAGUCCUGGCUUUUGCUUGUUUUGGGGGAGUGAACUUGUGGUUAGAUGAUGGAUCUCUCUCUGUCUCUGUCUCCCUUCCUGUCUUUCAAGUAGGCUAAGUAACUAGAUAGAUAUAGAUAGAUAGACAGAUACAUAGAUAGACAGGCAUAGAUAGAUGAUAGAAGGAUUUUUUUAAAAAAAGAGUUGGAAGCCCCUGAGUGCCUCAAAGCCUCCCCAUGGCACACGCGCACCACACGCAGUUUGGAAGAAGGCGUGGGUCGGGGCGUGCCGUGACAGAGCAGGGGCUUCUCUGAGGAGCUGCUGAGUGGGACGAGCAGGGGGCACAAGGACCCAGGACUGUGGGGCCAUCCGCACACACAGACAGCAGGGAGCCUGGCUGCCCAUCUGUGCACACUCACAUACACAGCACACUGUUCCCGCUGGGGAGUGAGGAUGAGAGAAUUGCUGCCCUAAGGACUGUGAGCGUUCCCACAGGGGGACCCCUGACCAGCUGGGGUGAUUCUGAGCAUUCUGAAGAGGGGAGGGAGGGAGAAAAGUCCACAGAGGCAGGAGGAGCGGGUGGGAGAGUAAGGGAGGGGACAGGUGGUCCCCUCUUCCUGUACCUGUGAGCAUCUCCCCAGCCGCCAUCAGCCUGGGGCCCAAACGCCGAGAACCAGGUUGGCAGUUUUCUCUCCAGUGGGAUUUCAGUUCCCGUCCUGGUGCCGCCUGCCCCCUUGUCAGGCAGAGCCAGAAAGGACCUCACCGCUGGCCCCGCGCCUGGCCCUGAUUGCCCAUCGUUUCCACAGACGCACUUCCCACUGGGCUUCCCUCUCCCGGAUCUAUUCUAGGAAGUCAACAGCUUCCGCCUGGGAUGAAAACGCCGAGUCCGCGUUUUCUCAUCAAGAAUGGUCCUGGGAUUAGCUGCUCUGCGGAUGGCAAAUAAGGAAAACCGCGCGGGCUCGCGCUGCUCCAGUGCCUGCUCCCACACCUCGGCCCUGGGGGACAGUCGCCCCGGGCCGGUCUGGCCUGCCCACUGACACCAGACCAGGAAGUCCUAGCAUGAACUGCUGCUCUCCCGGAGUCAGCCCCUGGGGUUGGCACUCCAGUUGUCCCCCAACCCGGGCAGCUGGCUUGCCCGCCUCCUGGUGUGCACAUGGGAAAUGCACGUGGUCUUAAUGUCACUGCCCAUGAACCUCCUGAAGCCCCUUCCUAUGGGUCGCCUCCCCUUCCCGCACCUCUGGAACACAUGGGCUGAACGUGACUCCCCCUUCCCCGCCCCAGGAAUGCUCCCAAAAGAGCCCCAAACGAGACCCCUCCAACACCGAGGUAUGGAUGCUAGCCGUGGCACAUCUUCUGGAACAUCCUAGGGUUCAGAUCUGGUUGCAAGCCUCUGCUAGGUCAAGUUCCAUGUCAUUCCACCGUGUUUGGACACAGAGCAGUUUUCCCUGAUCUGGUAAAGCCCCUCAUGCACAUGGAGGGUGGUGGACAGCGUGGUUAAGGAUGUGUGCAUCUGAGCCCCACCUGCAGGGCCCAGAGAACACUCCCACUUCCCUGAGCCUCUGUUCCCACAGGGACGGGCCACCUGUGAACCCUGUGUGCAGUAAGUGAGUUCAUCUACACAGAGGGCUGAGCUUGGACCCGACGUGAGAUGCAGGCGGCUCAAGCCAUCAGGAGCAGGCACCGAGCUGGCAAAGGUGGAGCUGUUCUGGCUGAACCAAGGGUGAUGGGCAGGACUCAGAUUAAAUAAGUGCAUCUCAGAAGGAAACUUUGCAUCAUCAUGGAACUGGAAGACCAGUACGACUUGCCAGAAAUAGGUCUCCAGGGACGUGAACACAAGGGCACACGGCUCGCUCACGGAGCGCCACCCAGGGACUCGGCACUGGCAGAGCAAGGGCACAGGGAGCUGCUCCACUCCGUGCCAGGCCUCCUCGCUGCCCCGGCUGGGAAUGCCGCUCUGCAGGGCCCACCACCCUAGCUCACAGGGGCGCGUGCAAGUUCUCCCUAAGCUUCUAACCCAAGCCCACAGCGGCCUCCGGUUCAAAACGCAACACUUCUGCAUGUUAGGGAGCUCCCAGAAUCCCCAGCACAGUUUGCUGUUUGAGACCACAUGCCAGGUGCAGUCACGGGCUCCCCGUCCCUCGAGACGGGCGCACAGAUGCCCAACAGCCGUGGGGGGCUGGGGAGACCACCUGACCGUCAGAAGGGCCCCUUGCGAACUGGCCUCACACCCCAGCUGGCUUUUGGAUGUAGGAAAAGAAAUUGAGAGCAACAAAGAGAGAGCGGAAUCGACUUCCGAUCAGGACUAUAAGGGCAAAGGUGACAAUUAUGAGCAGGGUUACCUAGGAAACACGAAGGAGGCAAACGGGGAUUUGUACUCCCCGUAGAAGUAAUUUGCAAUCCAACACUGGCUUACUGAGGACAUCACUGAACUCACACAGGUCUCAAUGAACAAAACGGAACUCCCUGGUUUAAAUAACUGACACCACGCUCAGGCGUAGCUGGACCCAGGGUCUCAGCCUGCUGCCCGGCUCUCCUUUCCCUCGGGGUUAUUUCAGGUGGGGCCGGCUCUGGGCAUGGCAGAGGCCCUGGGGGCCUGGCUGAGACCCAGCUCCUGUUGGACAAGAGCUUUAGCAAAAGUCCCAACUGGAGGUCUGCUGUUGAGGCAUUCGUCCGUCCUGUGUGCCCUCACUGAAGCCAGGGUGCGGGCUCUGCUUGCCCUAGGUCACAUGUCCCCUCUCCCACACGUGAAAGUGCAGGUGCCGUGGCCUGAAGCAGCUGAAGCCAGGGUCAGGCAGCAAACACAUCCCUUGCUGCUGCCCGGAGCUGCACGCCACCCCUCCACACACACAAAUGGGGUUCACGCGGCACUUCCUCCAGGAAGCCUUCUCAGCCUGUCCCCCGCUGGCCUGUGUGUGUGCUCCUGGCACAGGGAGCUUGUGGGCAUGUCUGGGAAAGCCUGUCCCCUGCUGGCCCCCAUUCACCUUGUGGUCUGUGGCCCAGGACAGUGCCUGGCUCACAGCUCACAGGACUUUGUGCCCUGCUGCCGGGUGGACACCAUGCUUGUGGGAGGCAGCAUGGAGAGAGAGAAGCUGGUGUGGCCACCGGCAACCAGUGUUUUGCAGGACCCCAGAACAGAUGCAGGGGGUUGGGGUGCGCCACAGUCAGCAAGUGGCAGCCCUGCAGACAGAGAGAUGAGGGGAGAGGCCAGGGCUGGAGAGAAGGCAGCAGGGCCCCAAGUGCAGGGGCCUUUGCAAAACAGGGCAGGCAGCCAGCACAUGGCAAUGGUGGGGGGGUGGUCCUUGAAGGCUGGGCUGGGGUUGGCUGUGGGGGAGGCUGCUGGGGCAGUCCUCAGAUUUCCAGAUCGGGUAGAGUCUGCAGGUGCACUGUGGUGCGCAGUAGGUUAAGCUGCUGCCUGUGAAGCCUACAUCCCAUAUGAGUGCUGGUUCCAGUCCUGGCUGCUCCACCUCCAAUCCAGCUCCCUGCUAAUGUGCCUGGGAAAGCAGUGGAAGACGGCCCAAGUGCUUGGGUCCCUGGGAGACCCGUAUGAAGCUCCUGGCUCAACAGACCUGGCGUUGCGGCCAUCUGGGGAGUGAGCCUGCGGCACGCAGUGGGGUGUUUGGAGAAGGAGAGGGGGUGUCUCGUGCCGGACAUGGCUUAGACUCUCUCUCAGGGACCCCUGGGGAGAAUGUGUUCAUGAGGCAGGGGGAAAGGCAUCCCCCAGUUAUAAAACAAAGAGGGGGACUGGGUCCCACAGGCGUCCUAGGAGCUGGCUCCAGCUCUCUGUGUAGAACUCUGGGAAGCAUUGAGCCAGUGGCCAUCGGUUGGAGCCUCUCCCUGGCGGAGGCAGGGCGGGAGGAGAACUUGCCCUCUGAGGUGUGAGUCCCUGCGGGAGGGGUAGAGGGAGGGCCCCUCCCCAGAGCAGCGGGGCAAAAUGACUGAGCCUCCCUGGUCUCAAAUAAAUCAUCAGGCACACAGCAAACAAAGGGAGCGCUCUGUCUCCAGCCAAGCGCUGGCCCUGUGGCCAGUCCUCUGAGGACAGACAGUGAGCCCCAGGGAGAGGCGCAGCCUGCUUGUCCAGCAUGGCCGCGUCUGAGUGGAGGGCUUCCCCGGGAGCCACACAGGGAGGCAAAUCAGGGCCUCCUCUCGACAGGACCGCAGGUUUGCCGAGAAGUGGGUCCCCGGGAACUCGGGUGAGGGUGGGAGGGUAGAGGGUGAAGACGAGGCAAGUCGCGUUCAUCUGAGCUAAACGAGCCACCUGACGGCCUGGCUGUCCCGUGCACCCUGGGGUUCACACGCCUGGCAGCCCCGGAACGGCAAUGCUGUGUGUUUGCACAUGGCCCAGCAUGCAGCAGGAAGUCAACAGAUGCUUUAGAGUGAAGCCGGUGCAUGCACAGACCUAACUGCCAUUUCUCCCUGUCUGCUCGAGCCAGGAGGGCCACAGGCUGGGGCCUCUGUGUCCCUGGCUGGGGCUGAGUGAGCUCUGGCUGGGGGUUUGCUUUGAGACGGGCACUGGCAUUUCUUGGUUAGGUGACCUUGGGGAUACGUUCUCAUUCCGGCUCGUGGGGAAUGGAGCAGUGAAAUCCCCCACGGUGCCCGGCUCCUCAUCCCUGCUGCUCUGGCUCCCACUUCAGAAGGCGGAGGACUGAGAGAGACCAGGAAGUGACUUGCCCAAGGGCGCAUAGCCAGCAGGAGGCUGGGCCAGGAUCUGCCCCUGUGCUGUGAUGCGCACGCUUGCAGGCCUCGGGGCCUUGCUUCUCCUCUGUGAAGUGAGGAGGCGGGUUUGGGGAACCGAGGAUGGGGUUUAGGGUUGACAGUGAGGCCCCGUGGGUUUGCCUUGCACGCAAGCCUUUGCCGGCACGAGAUGUGCAGGAGCCACAUCAAGUCAAGCACCAGUGUCGGGCGGCUUCUUGCCUGUGCCACAAAGACGCCGUUCCUCUUGCUUUUAGGGGACACAGGCAGAGCGCCAGCCCCACCACUGCAGCCUUGCCGGCAGCCUCUGCCCUCUCUGUGCCGGCAGGCAGGUGGGAGCCCAGGCCGGCCCCUGCGGGCUGGCCCCAGGUGAGCCUCCUUUCCGCUGAUGCCAGCCCCAGCCCUGCCAUUGCCUGGCUCUCCAAACAGGCACUGACUCAUGAGUGUCGGCAGGCCUGUCGCGCUGAGUCAGAGCUGGUCCUUCACUUCAGCCCUGCAGAGCUGCCAGCUGGAGAGCGGGGGGCAGGGCGCAGACGCUGCUGCUCUGGAAACAACCUUGAACUGACUCCAGGUGCAGGCUGCAGCCCCUGCCCCACCCCAGCUGAGAUGCACGGCUCUGUGGUGUGGCGUGUGCCUUGUGCCCACUCCCUGCAUGGGUCAGGCACACAUGGAGGUCAGGCACACCUUUCUGCAGACGGCACCAUUCUAGAAGGAAGAGGGACAGGGUGAGCAGAUGUGGAUCACAAAAUCAGACCUCCUGGGAGAUGCGGCUCAGGGUGCUUUGGGGCCCUGGAGCACCUUCCUCCAUCCCAUAAUCCCCCGCACAUCUGCAGAGCAGAGCCUGUGGCUGGGGAAGGCAGCAACUGAGGUGGGAGCUGUCUGGCACAGGCUCAGAUGUGAACACAAGCGCACGGUGCUUACGGGCAGUCGUUAACACCCCGCAGUGUCAGUCCUAGGACAGCAGCAGGAAGGCCGGUGGCCAUCAGCCUGGCGGGUUGCGGGGGAGCGCCUCACGGAAGUCAUUGCGCUGAGCAUUGACAGGCCCCUGGGAGGCAGCUGGUGUGAUGAUCCUAGAUGGGAGAGAGCUGAGGAGGAGGAGGGCAGUCCCAGAACUUGCUGCUCGAACCCAAGCCCAUCCACACCUGGGCUUCGCUCUCUGCCGCUGCACAGCCCCCAAUGACCUGACGGCCCCAUUGAGGGAGCCGCAGGGUCUACAAAGCACGCCCCCUUCCACUACCACCACCAGGGAGCACUGCCGGCUCCCUGGGGAGCUGAGCGGGACAGGGGGCAGGGAGAUGCACUUGUCCCUAGCUGCUGGACUCGGUUUGGACAGAGGCAUCCAGCAGGUCCCAUGUUGUCUGUGACCUGGGCACCCCACCACCUUGUCCUAACUUUGGGGCAUCUCCCAGCCGGUUGCCUGUGUCUUGAUGUUUGGGAAGCCAUGGAGGCAGCCUGAGGAAGCCAUCAGCUUGCGUACCGUGAUCUGACGUGACACGAAAGCUGCAUCCGAUUCCACGCAAGCUGCCUGUGGCAAAUGACCUUCUAUUUUUACAUUUCUCACAAAUUGGAAAUUUCAAGGAGGCCAGAUCUUGCAGAGCGAUUGGCUGUGGCAUUCCAUGAACUGGAGAUGGGCAGCUCAGUGGAACACACACCGCGUAGGGUGUUGGGGUGCAGGUGGGGGGCUGGCUGGGCCCCUGGCAUGCAAGCCAGGCCAGGCAGUGCAAGAGUUGGUAGCUGCCUGGGACAGUGGCCUGCAGCCCUGCCCACCUGUCGGCUCCCUGGUAUCUGCUGAUCAGUGUCUCCUGCCAGCUCUUGAGUUAGCUGAGCUCUGGCCAGAGGGACAGUAAAGGUCAGAGAUGCCCUGAGAGGCAUGGGCAUCAGGUUGCUUCGGCAGCCUUGUUGUUGGGUCAGGUGGUUCUGUGUGGGUAGGGGCAGCCCCGCAAUGAGGUGAGUGCAGACAUUUGCCAUGAGGGCUGCUGUGAGCUGCGCUGGACAGCACCAGACAGCUGGCCGGGAAAGUGCUCUUACGGCUGCUAGGUUUCAGGGCCAGAGAAGCCAGCAGGUGCCCGUGAGGUACCGGAGAAUGAUCCAUAGGUCAGAAUGACCUUGACCCAGAGGAGGCCCCUGCAGUAGCCCCAUGGUAAACCUAAGAUGAUUGUAUCGCUGCUACCCAUGUUCUCCCCAGCACUGGACGGGCAGCCGAGGUUCAGAGUCCCGAACUCUCGUUUCUGUCUUCCAGUCUCCCAGUCCAGGGGUGGUUACUUCUGAAGCCCAGACCUGAGUUCACCACGUGGUCCCGGGAGUCAGAGCAGCCCACAUCUGGUGAGAGGCAGAGACUGGGUCUGUAGGACAGCCCAGGGAGGCACGGCUGUGAACUUUGGGAGCCAAGGGUCCUGUGUCUCCUUGUUCUCCCAUAGCUGAGUUCCAACCGGGGAGUCCUUCGCCAUGCCCAGUGUUGGAGCUGAGCAUGACGGUUCAGCCGGGGGCCCAUUCAGUCUCGGUUUCACCACCUCCGAGAAACACCUGAGUUGAGAGAAGCUCGCCUGGGAUCAGAAGACAAAGCCCCACGGAGCGUUUUUCCUCCCUGGGUGGAGAGGAAGGGGUGGCGGGGCUCAGACAGAACACACGUUCAUCCAUGUGAGAUUGGAUGAAAACGAGCAGCAGGGUGGCCGUGAGCUGGCAUAGAAGGGCCCGGAGCCUUGGCACCCAGGAGGGCAUGAGGAAGGGUUCUGUGGACACGUGCAGGGAGAGGUGGCCCAGCCAGCUGGGGGGGUGGACGGAAACCCCCAGGCCACAACCCACUCCCCUGCCUCUGGAGAGUUGCUAUGCUGAAGACGGACAUACCCCACAAGUUCUGGAAGCUUCCCUGAAGGACACAGGGGAGCAGGAGACCUGAGGCGCCUCCCAGGCCUGGUCCCUGUGCCAAGGCCUUGGGCUUCACUCCACCCUCUCUGAGGUUGGUGCUAAGGUGCACCUUGGCCAGAGGAGGUCACAGGCCCAGAGCAGCGGGGUCGCUCACCCCAGGUUUGGGCCAGGUCUUCCCCAUGCCAGCCCCCGUGUGCUCCAUCCCCCUUGUCUCUUUUUGUGCCUCUGAGGAGAGAAGGGGGUCUUUCCUCCGUGUCUGCUGUUUCCUGUGGUACGGAAAAGGGCUGAGGCUGGGCGAAAGCACAACGCAAAAGCCUCAAAGCCAGAAGCCCCCAGCGUCCCAGGCAGCCCCCCUGGGCUGCAGCCUGAGCUCCCUGGGAGACCUUGGCCACGGGAACCCCCAGCAUGGCCAUUCCUGGAGCUGGAGGUCAGAGACUCACCUAUGAUUUACAGAAACAAGCGGGCUCAGGGCCGGAGAAGCAGGGGCCAUUCUGUGGAGAUGGGGUUCAAGUGCACGGCAGGCUGCCUCGAGGGGACAUGGAAUGGUCCAGCCCAUGCCGCCCCUGAGCUGAGCACUUGGCAAGCAGUGUCCCAGACCCUCAACAAGGAAGCUGAGGCUGAGGCAGCUCUGGGUGCUGCCCGAGGCUGUAUCGUUGGCUCCUUCAGCCGUGCAGAGCUGGGCUCAGAUCCGGGUCUGUGGGACCCCUGUGCCUGGGCUCCCAGCUUUGAGAAGGAGGUGGGAAAUCACUCCCUGGCCGCCUUCUCUGGGCUUUGCUUUCUCCGUCCCCAAAGCCAAGGAUUUGGACUGUGGAGCGGGACCCGGGCCAACCCCAACCAGGCGCCAGCCCUCCAGGUGGGGAGGGGGGUUGCAUGCCCGCUUCCUCUGCUCCUCAUCCAGCUCCCCAAGAAUAACCUCCCCAAGAGCAAUGAUUGGGGGGCAGGGGGGUAAAGAGCCUUUUCUCCAAACGGCAGUGAACAUACGCAGCGCUGACACAGCAGGUGCAGUGCUGUUCGUUAUGCCACGGAGACUAACAGAGAUGCCGGCCCCGUGCCUCUGGGCUGGCAGCAGUGUGCUCAGAAGUGGUGCCAGGGGUCCAGACGAGAGCACAGCUGUCCCCUCCCCAACCUGGGAGGCAGACAGGAGCCACACAGCCAAGGGCCCCUCCUCAGCUCUGAGCCAAGUGGCUCUUUGGACAGGGCUCUGUGGCAGCUGUUCUGGGGGCUUUUCUGGGCAGUCUGGAUGGGUCACCUCCGGGGCCAGGCGUGGGCAGCAACUGGACACAGUAAACCUACUGUGUGCCGGGCUCUGCUGUGGGUGUAAGCUCAGCGUCAAAGCCACAAACCCGUCACAGCCCCCACAGCUCUGUUUUCUGGAGUCUAGUGUGCCUGGCUUGGAGUGGGGCACAUGGCUGGGUCACCACGGAUAACGCCCUUGCCUUCUGUGAGCCUCAGUUUGCACAUCUGUGAAAUGGGGGUACUGAGGGCUGUGAUGCUGCAGGCAAAGCACGCCUCCUCGCCACCCCGGGGCUCAGAGCUGGAGACGGCACAGACCCCGUGGAGGCCACACAGCAGGGGUGAGCGUGGCAACCCGCAUCAGCCUCGUGUGCGUCCUGGGAGUUAAAGUCUCGCUCAGACCCCCGACUCACUUCUAUCAGCUCUGACUCCAUCCCUGUCUCGCUGGACCCAGGAAGCCGUUUGUUUGGGUUUUCAUAGGCUAGAGAAAGUCAGGACACCCCCUUCAGACACCCCCAUGACCCACAUGGAUAAACUGAGGCCUCCAGAGGCUCCCCAGGUCCUGCAGGUGCUAGGACCCAGAGCGUCUCACCCCUGGCCCUCAGCAGCCCGGCUCCAUGGCUGAGAAAUUAUUAAAUAGAGUUGGUGGAAGGACUCUGGUUGCCAUGACAACAGAGCCUGUGUCCUUGGAGAUAAUGGCAUUGCACAGGUGGGGCGAUGCACCGUGAAUGCUGAUGCGGGAGCCGCUGGCACGCGGAGGGGACUGUGUCCUGAGGGGCAGGCCAGGGGCCCGUGGCAUGGGCGGCCUGUGGGACGCUUGCCUUGUCUGGUCGCAGGGCCCGGGCUCCCCCUGCAGCAGGGAAGGCCUGAAAGGAGGCUGGACCCGUGCAGCGGGGCUGGCACUGGGAGCACCCGAAUUCUGGAAAGACUUGGGGAGCAGUGAUGAGGCCAGCCAGCCAGAAGGGGACACAGCGUGGCCUGGUGGCCCAGACCGUCCACUCCAGAGCCCAAGGCAUGGCCCUACCCACCUACCCCCUCUCUGUCACUGUCUGCCCGGGCCCUUGUCCUUUGCAUCUGCACAGUGGGGUUGAUACCAGCACCUGCCCCGUAGGCCCUGUCACGGCCAUCACUCAGGGGCAGUGGAUCUUGUUGCUAACCAAGGAGGGGGACUAGAAGCACCACUCAUGGCCACAAGUGGGCUUGUGAUGGGCACAGCUGGACGAGUGCGGGAAGCUAGAAGAUGGACAAGAAAAUGCAGGUCCCUGUGACGGGCGGGUCUCAGUGCGCGUGUGUGGUCCCUGCAAACCCCCAACAGCUGCGCACAGCAGCAGGGUUUUCUCUUUCCUAGCUGCAAACCCUCCCUUGUGGAAGACAGCGUUGCACUCAGGCCCUUCCUGUGCCAGACCUGCCCAGCUGGCCCACUGUGGGCAGCGCCCUUGGCAGGGACUGGACUGGGUUAACACCCAGAGAAACCCCAAAGUGAAUCAUUUGCAUGCUGGCCAGGGAGGCAGCUGGCUGUGGACCCCUGGCCCCAUUUUAGAAGCAGAAGGAGGGUACAGGACUCAGUGCUGGGAGCUGGGGGCCUGGCGGUUGAGAUGCAAGCAACCAUUUCUGUGUGCUGGCCCACCCCACAGCCAGUCCAGGGUCCCCUGGGCAGCAGCCACUCCUGAGGCUGAGGACAGGUCGGCAGCAAAGAGGAGCCUCCCUCCUGGGACACUGCUGUCCCCCUGGGCAGGACAGGGGUCAGGGAGGCUCUGCGUGGACACGUGCAAGCAGCUGACAUUUCACUGGGGUUUGAAGGAACACGCGUGUGCCCUGGGGGUCGCGUGUCAUGAGUGAUGGCUCUAAGAAUCUGAGCCGAUCAACGUCUCCCGGGGACUCACUCCACCGUCGCCUGUCUUGAUGGAGCUGGCGUUCUGCCCACAGCUUUUCCCCACCUCUGUCUGAGAAGCAGUGAUGCUAGCACCGGUCAGGCGGUCUUUGCCAUGGCCCAGCUGCUGCUGCACCCAGCACGCACGUUCUUCCACUUCGUCCUCAUAGCUCUCAAGGUAGAUUGUGAUCAUCUCUGUUUCUGGCAGAGCUGGGAUUCGAACCCAGGUCUCCUGGUCUUCAGGCCCUGCCCUCCCCUGCCAUUGUCAGGGUUCCUGAGGACCCUGACAUGCCGCUGAGCAGGAGGCGUGCCCAGGUUUGCUCGUCCGACGCGGGACUUCGAAUUUUCUCAGCAGAAGUCUGGUUUUGCUUCUUACUACCUAGGACUUUUCACUCUGUAAGGGUGGGGGGCUCUCACCCUGUAGAAUUCUCCUGUAAGGGGGGCUCUCACCCUGUAGAAUUCUCCUGUAAGGGGGGCUCUCGCCCUGUAGAAUUCUCCUGUAAGGGGGGCUCUCGCCCUGUAGAAUUCUCCUGUAAGGGGGGCUCUCGCCCUGUAGAAUUCUCAAAAGCUCAGUGAAUGAAGCGAGAACAGCUGUGCUGGCAGAAGUGAGCACUCAUUUGAGUCUUUUAAAAAUAAAACUGGCUUCCUCUCGUGGGAAAAUAUGUUCGCGCCUGGAGCGUGACCCUUCGGCAGCUCUGAAACCCAUGCCCUUCCCAUUCUCGCAAAAUAUUCUAAGGCCGCAUCUCUCAUGUUUUCCUUAAGCCAAUAGAAUUUUCCUUAAGAGAACAGGAGGAGUUUUUUGUUUUCUAGAUACAAAAUUGGUGAUGCUGAACCUGCGUUUCCAAACCUCAUCACUGCUAGGUGUGUGAGAUACGCGGGCUUCGCAAAGUUCAAGGAAAAUGCGCGUUAUCUUCCCUUGCACUCGGAGUUGCCUCACCUGUGGUCCCCCACAAAGGGGCCCUGCUCAUGUCAUUCUCCCACUCCCCUGAGUAGUGGAGGUGGCUCUGUCCUGGCCUGUAGACUAGAAGCUGUCGAGGGCCGGGCAAGACCCCCGAUGAGGUGGGAUGUCAGUGGCUGGCUGACGGUGCCCGUGGGACUUUGCUAAGUGGUGCAGCCCCACGCCCCCGGUCCAGGCUGCCAGUUCAAGCUUUAAAACUGUCAGCCGGGGGCCAGUGUUGUGAUGUAGCUGAUGAAGCCACUGCCUGUGAUGCCAGCAUCCCAUGUGGGCACCGAUCUGUGUCCCACCUGCUCCACUUCCAAUCUAGCUCCCUGCUAGUGGCCUGGGAAAAGCAAUGAAGGACAGCCCACAUGUUUGGGCCCCAGCCACCUUGUGGGAGCCCUGUAGGAAGCUCCUGGCUCCUGGCUUUGGCCUGGCUAAGCCCUCACUGUUGUGGCCACUUGGGAAGUGAACCCUCCCCCACCUCUCUCAAAAUAAGUAAAUUUUUUUUGACAGGCAGAGUGGACAGUGAGAGAGAGAGACAGAGGGAAAGGUCUUCCUUUGCCGUUGGUUCACCCUCCAAUGGCCGCCGUGGCCAGCGCGCUGCGGCCAGCGCACCGCGUUGAUCCGAUGGCAGGAGCCAGGUGCUUCUCCUGGUCUCCCAUGGGGUGCAGGGCCCAAGCACUUGGGCCAUCCUCCACUGCACUCCCUGGCCACAGCAGAGAGCUGGCCUGAAAGAGGGGCAAGUGGGACAGAAUCCGGCGCCCGGACCGGGACUAGAGCCCGGUGUGCUGGCGCCACAAGGCAGAGGAUUAGCCUAUUGAGCCAUGGCGCCAGCCUAAUAAGUAAAUCUUUAAAAAAAACAUUUCUCAGCUGCACACAUCUGGGCACUGGCUCUCAUUUAAGAUGUCUGGUGUGACCACAUGUCGCCAUCUUGCUCUGUCUGGGCCUCGGUGAGUUGUUCUCUAGAGUGGGGCCGGUGACACCUGCAGAGCUGUCGAGGGACAGAAGUGGAUGCUGGGUGGAUGCCAUGGAGCUGUGUGCGGCCACCACAGGGCACAGAGAGGGUGCUUGGCCGAGGCUGCACCUGCAUGGUGACUCGGGACAGCUCCUGUGGCCAGCUGCUGGCCCUGACAGGAGCAGCUGUCGUGUCUCUUUCCCGGAUCUGAGCUCUUACAAGGCCCUGACCCCGAGCCCUUGGGAGCCCUUCAGGCACGUCUCAAACAAGAACGAGUGGCUUCCUGCACGUGUGUGUGCACAGGCGGAGAGCCGUGGCCCAGAAUGCCAAGCAGGCUUCACGGUGCUCUGCCUUCCUGAUCAGAAUUCAGGGUUUCUGGCCGGCUGGACUCUGCAGGCCGGAGGCUAGAAGCGGCAGGGAACCUGGGACACGCGGUGGGGGUGCAGGGCCGGAGAUGUUCUCCUGUUCUCUGGGGCUCCUGUGGUGCCCAGAGCAGGUUCAUUCUGAGUCAGCGCCUUGAGGUGGUUUGGCAAGGAUGAAGUUAAUGGGCUGGCCUGCUACCGACCCAGCAGAAGGAGGGCAGUGAGAGAGGCCCUGCAGCCUGGGUUCGAAUCCCGGCUUCUCCGCCACCUGUGCCCUUGAACUCUGCACGCUAAAGGGCAAGCCCCUGCCUCCUGGCCUUGUCACAGGGGUCGGUCAGUGGGAGACGCAGCCUGGCACUGCUUGUGGGCACCCACAGCACGCAGCUCCCCCCUCCCCCGGGGCUCACCGCCCUGUCCCCCUCUCACCAUGCUUUUCCCUGGAUUCCUUGUCUGACUCCUCACCUGGGAAGAGACAGGUAGUGAAGCAGCACCUUGCCAGCCACUCGCAGCUGAGCCAUCGUCAUGGAACCUUGGACCAGCCCUGGGGGUGGGGAGGGUCCUUAAACCCCAGAAAACAGCAGAUGCUGCCACUGCCCAGGAGACCCACGGUGUCCUCUGUCGCAAGGGCAGAGCCAGGAGAGCACCUCUUACCUGGCACCGUGUGACCUCCGUGGGGGAAACAGCACCUGGGAGACCCCAGCCCCAGCCGCGCAGAGGCAGCAGAACAGCUGGGGAGGUGGGAUGGGAGGAUUUGUGGUUGGGGCAAAGGGGAGGGCGCAUGCACUGUGGCCCGGCCCCCUUGCCGCCACCUGCGCGCUCGGCCUCCCUGCCUCCCUCUGCACAGAGCCGCCCAGUGCCCUUGUCAAAGUGCAGUCCCAUCACAGCUCCCCCUUCCCAGGCUGCACUGGCAGCCGCGAGACCACCGGGGGCCCACAGUGGGAGAGGAGCCGUCGGGAACACGGGCAGCACUUGCUCAGGCCUCUGUCACGCGGAUCCGGGCCUGCGAGCGCGUGCUUUAUCCAUGCCUGUUUCCUCGUCUGUGCCAUGGGGGCGGCACGAGAGUUAGAUGCCAUCAUUUGCGUUACGCCCUUCACAGAUCUGUUGUGAUCAUGGCUCCCUCUGCCUGGAGUGGACCGGAGUGAGCGUUCCGCUCCUGCUUCCCUGGCCAAGGUGGAAGGGAGCUCUCGUUUCUCCUGCCCCAUCUCUGCCGGCCCAAGGGAGGUGCAGCCCGGUACCCACCUGAACCCCUGCCUGGCCGUCCCCUCAGCUUUCCCGACUCAGCCUCAGCUCGCCGCUUCUCCCCCUGCACCCAGCCUGGGACCUGGCUCCCCGGAGGUGCUCGGCCACUGCUGGGUGGCUCAGAUUGGAAAUGGCCUUGAGAAAAUGAGGCAUGCAGCGGGGUGCUGCUGGGAAUUAGGGGCCAGAAGAGACACUCACGAGGUCCUGGGGUGUGAGCGAGUCACGUGGGAUGAGAUGAGAUUGAGGGAAGAAGCCAACACAGGCUCUGGAGUCAGCCACACCGCUCUACCUGCGCAAGGAAGGGAACCCAGAAACAGGGCAGGCAGGGGCCUGGCUUGAGAUCACGCAGUGCAUGUGGUGCGGUGCCGGGAGCCAAACUUGUGCCUUCACCACUCAGGUCAGCCCCCAAAACACAUCCCCGGGGCUGUGCCCAGCUGCCACAAGGCACGAGUGGCAGCUGCGUUGGAGGAGAGCUGGGUCUCCAAGCGGAGAGAGCUGCCCCUUGGGGACCCCAUUGGAGCCGCCAGCCCCACAGGCCCCGUGAGGGCUGCUCAGCUGGGAUCACGGGCUCUCUGCUGGCUCCCAGGACACCGUGUGGCCGCAGCCGGGCAGCUGCAGUGGCCCUAGUGGGGCGACCACUGAAGCCCCGUGCAGCAGCCUCUCAGGGGUUGGGGUGGGGUUUCUUGGAGGAGCUGUGUCUGGGGAGGGGCAGCUCCCGGACACCUUGAAUGUGGGGCUUGUUUUUCUGUGGGCACCUGCCAGAGACAGCAGCUAAGGGCAGGCGCACAGGAAUCCGGCUGCCCUGGUUCAAGCUGUGGUGCCCCCGGCUGGGAGCCUUUUACAAAGUCACUUUAGUUCUCUGUGCCUCGGUUUACCUUUCAGUACAAUAAGAGAAGGCAUGGGGAUUCACCACGUGUGUAGUGUGGCCCUGGCAUGUUGCAAGCGUGGCCGGCUCACCUCCUCCCUGCAUUGCGAGCUCAUCUAGUUCAUUCCGCUCCCCCUCCUUUGCCCGUGAAAAGCUGGGCCGCUUUUCCUCCGUGCGUGCAGCCGCGGGAGAGCUGGGGCCUGGACUCCUGGAGCCACCGCAGCUGCAGUGGACACUGCUCUCAGUGCCCGUUGGGCUCGGGGUGGGGCUGCUCCGUGGCCUGCUCCCUCCGCCACUGUGGUCCGGGACGUGCCCUGGACAACCACACGGCAGCUCCCAGGGACGCCCUGGAGCUGGGAUUUUCUGUUUCCUCCUCUGGCUCAGGGCAGGGAGGCCAGGCAAGUUGCUCCCCUACCCCGGGUGUACUGCAGGCAAGGUCAACAAGGUCAUGGGGUCAGCAGUCAAAGGGCACAAGUCACCCGUUGUGUGCCCGUGUGACCUUGGGAAGGGCGUAUGACCUCUCUGGACCAACGAUUGUUAUUGCUUCCGUAUUUUUAGCACUUGCUGUGCUGGGCACCGUCCGGGCCUCACACAGUGUGGGGUGCUUCCUGGUGGCCCCAGUUUCUGACCAGGACCCAGAAAGAGAACACAGAAUUCACUCGAAGGGCCUUGGGGUGCUGUGCAGAGGGGCACCCCGUAACUGCAGGGGUGGAGAAGUGAGCGCCUCUCGGCUCUGUGGCGGCAGCUGGGGCUUUCGCCAGUCUGCUGGCGGUGAGAGUGUGGUGGGAAGAGAUGGCAGUCAGGAAGGGUCAUGCCACUCCUGCUGUGCGACACUGGGCCCGCCUGCAGCCCACUGCAGACUCGUCUUCUCCAUAGACGCCUGCAUGCAGACAGGUGCACUGGUGAGGUGUGGAACAAUCUGGACUGGGAGAGAGGUUGCCUGGGCCCUGUUAUGCAAGGGCUGAGGGUCCAAUAAUGGGGGACUGCAGCCAGACCCCAGCUGUCAUGACUGUCAGCUGAAGCCUGCACCCCAGCCCAGACCCGGCCAGCUUCUGAGCCUUCUUGAAACACUAGGCCCAGGAGACCCUCACCAGCUGCUCCUUCUCAUCAGAGAAGCACCUCUUCCAGGGAGCCCUCCCUGACCUCCAGGGCAGAGCACAGCAAGAGCCGCCCACAGCACCUGCUGUUCUCCAGCCAUGCCAGGCCAGCCGCACACUCGCUGCACCUGUGGCUCCUCUGUGCCUCGCAUUGCCCAGCGCUCCUCCAUGGCAGGGGCAUGUGCGGCCCCUCUCCCCUUCCACAGCAGCCGAGCUGUGUGGAUGCUUCCUGGGGAUCAGGCCUCUUCUCCAUGCACUCCCUGGCUUCAGCUUCUCACGCGAGUCCAUGCAGCAGGAGGGUCCACAUGUGCAGACAAGAACACAGAGACUCGGACAAGCUAUUGACCGCCCAAUUCGCGAGAUCGGAACCAUGCCCCAUGACAUAAUCCAGGUCGCCCCCAGAUCACGGCUUCAGAAGCCGUCCCAUGCACCUGGAUCACCGGAACCUGUUAGAAUCCAUGGCCACCGCUGCAGGUGUGACAUGGGGCCCGGGGCUCUGCCCUCCUGGCAGGCUCCCCCGUGAUGCCGAGGCCCUCCCUUGCUGCCCUGUCUGCUGAGUCCAGGCUGGCGGGUGAGGGAAGUAGCCCUUGCUUUGCAGACAUGGAACAAGGCCUGGGCGGUCCCAUACCGGUGAAGUGCCUGGCACACAGUAGGCGCUCAAUAGAUGCUAGCUUUUCUCCCUCAAUAGGAGCUGGUGUGACGCCCGGUACACAACAGAGGCUCGGGAAAGCCUGGCCCAAUUGGGAGAGCCGAGCUUUCUUCCCCAGCACAGAGAACAAACCGCGUUAUGUUCCUCUUCAGAAAGGAGCCAAACCCAAUAUUAAUUUUUUCUUGAACCUCAGUGUUGCAAAGAGAAAGGAGAGCGAGUUGCACGCUUGUCUCUGCCAUUUCUGCAGGGAGAACCAGGAGCGGAACAAAGCCCAAGUGAGCACCAUGUCCUGGGAGGGAGCCCCCGACCCCGUGCCCAGGCCUCUGGUUCUCCCGCCUCCCUCUCCUGCGAGCCAGAUCUGCUGCAUGCCCAGCCUGGCCGGAGACAAUGGCGGCCCUGAGACUGUGGCCCUGGCCUGUCAGCCCUGCCAAGGUCCACACCCCACACAGCCGCCUGCCCCCCGAUGCAGUGGCACAGAGGGAGAUGGUCCAGGGCGCCGUCCGCACGUCCCCGCCCCUGGCCUGUCCUCUAGCCCGGGGCUGGCCUCUGACAGCCCAGUCUCCAGGGAGGCCCGUGGGCCACAGCCCCAGAGCAGAUCCUGGGAGCUGCCCUUCCCCCCUCUGCCCCCAGUCACAGCCGCAUCAUCUCUGCCUUGCCCCCUUGCCGUGUGCAGCCUCCCUGUCAGCUCAGCCCUGCUGCUUGAACCCUCCUCCCCCAGCCCUUGUGGAAUAAAAUCUGAACUCGCCGUGGCUCCCGAGGCCCUGCAUUACCAGGUCCCUGCCCACAACCUCCAGCUGGCUCCAUUCCCCCUCGUGCUGGCCUGCUGCCACCCUGGCCUCUCAGAUGCACGGACCCAAUCCUGCCCAGGGCCUUUGCCCCUCCUCUCCAUGCUCCCAGAGAUGCUGUAUCCCAGAUACAGCCCCAAAUUCCAGCUGAAUUUUUUUUCUUUCCAACCAAGAAAGCAAGCCCAUGGGCCAGUUCUGACCCAUUUUGCUGCUUCUGAUCUAGGGCUCCGGUCUCCACAUGUUUUCUUUCUCUUGCAAAGCACGGACUCCCUCAGGGACUGACAGAGGGACUUCUUCCUACUUCACUGGGCCCCUUUUGGCAUGGGGAUUGGUCCCAGUGCAGGAUGGGUGUCGUCUGGGAGUGGGGGUGCACCUGCCUGCCUCCGUCUUUCUCCUGAGCUCCAUCCUUCCCAGAGGCCCCUGAUGGAGUCUCUUUCUGGAAGCUGGAUCUGGUCACGUGAUCACCCCUGCCACGCACCUGCAGCUGGGCCCUAAGUCCUCACCCCGGUGCAAAAGGCCCUUUUCUGCGUCGGCUCUCGCAUUUGUCCCGACCUGGGUGCUUUUUCCAUUUGCACAAACCUGACGAACACCUGUUCAACCUUCAAACCCCAGGGCGAGUGGCCCCUCACCUGGGCUCCUCCAAGCUGCCUCGUUCCUUCUCAUCUUCAGAGCCUGUGCACCACAGUGCAGUGGAUCAGCUACAGCAGAAGUGGUUCCCCAGAUGAUGACCUGGCCGGGGGAAGGCCCUCACCUCUCCACCUCUCGUGUCCUGUGCCGGCCCCGGCUCCAUGCACAGAGCAGGCCCCCAGCAAGCACUAGCUGACUCACAGCCUGCCAGCACCUGGCGUGUGUCCCCCAUGUCCUCGCUGUGUGAUGAGCGAGUGGCAGAGGCCAGAGGACUGAUCUCGCCUCCUAGGGUCGAUUAUGUGCGGUGCUUUGGAGGAAUUCAGUUCAUGGGGCCCACUCAAUGACCAGAGGGCCAUGUGGGCGGACUCUUGGCCUGCAGGAUGUUGUCGCCUGAUGAGAUGGGGCCAAAAGCUGCUGGGAGGAGGCCACGCCUCUUCCUCCCACCUGCUCCACCAGCAGGUAAAGGAGAGUCUCAGGCCGGCGCUCCCCGUGCGUGGCCGCAUCCUUGGAUACUAUCCCCAAAAGCCAUGGGCCCUGGGCUGCAUCUCAAGAAAGGCAGGAAUGACUGGGAUGGCGGGGCCCUGCCGCGAGCUUGCCCACACCUGCUUCCUGUGUGUCCUUUCCACCAGGGAGGGAGGGGCAGGGGAGACGCCCACGCCAGGAAUUCGGGGUCCCAGGUGUGCGCCUGAGUGCCACUGCCUGGGAGCUCUCUGGGUUGGGCACCCAGUCCCUGGCUUGCCGGGUUUCUUGCAUGGACGAGCUGGUUGGGGUGUUUUUCCCUGCUCUGCUUCGUUAUAGAAUCACUUUUCUGCGACUGACCAAGCAUGCAGAUGUGCCGCUCUCAGCCCCCGUCUGGCCCGGGGUGGCGGGCGAGGCCGCUGCAAGUUUGUAGAAAGAGGCCGGGCUCCCGUUCCCACUGGGCUUCUGAAGAUGCUCAAAGGUGCCAAGGACCUGAAUGGAACAUGCUCCAAAAAAGACUGUCGCCGUAGUCAUCGUCACUGCUGGGGCCCGGAGCCAGGGUGAGCGCUGUGGCUGCCUGUACAGGGGCUGCCUGACACCUGCUUGGCCUCAGCGCUUCUGAUUCUCAGCACAGCCCCAGGUGGGAGCUGCUUGUAUCUCCCCCACUUCACAGAGAGGUAAAGUCAGCCAGCCAGCACUCGUGGAGGGCAGACACAGCCAAGGGCCGUCUGACGCAGCAUGGGACAAGUCCAGGACCCCACGGGAGCACCAGUUGCAUCCUCAGCCUCUACUUCCUGUAGCUUCCCUGGGUGCGUUCCACGCCUUCUGCAAGGCUCGCUGCACUGGGGCGGUGGGACUCCUCACAGGGAAGCCGCAGGCCUGCACUGGACCUGGCUACGCGCUCCUGUGCUUGGGCCUUGCAUGCCCAGGAAGUCCCUGUUCACUGUCUUCCUGGGAGGAGCACCUGCUGGGGGCGAGGCAGAGAGCUGUGGCGGCACCAGGAGCCCCCACGCCGGAGUAAGAUGGGGAGGGGAGUUUGGGGCUGCAGAAGCCAUGUGCCACGGACUGGCUUUCUGGUGACGGACAGAUUUCCAGGCUCAUGGUCAUGGAGGCUGGGAUGGCCAGGAAGGGGGGUGGUCCCCGUGUCUGACGGGGGUCUUCUUGCUGUGCCAUAACGUGGCAGAGGUGGAAGGCAUGGUGAGAGCAAGGGAGCAAGAAUGACUGAUAACCAGCCCACUCCCAAGAUAACCAACCCACUCCUGAGAUAACCAACCCACUCCAGAGAUAACCAGCCCACUCCCGAGAUAACCAAUGCACUCCCAAGGUAACCAGCCCAGUCCUGAUAACCAACUCACCCCCAGGAUAACCAACCUACUCCAGAGAUAACCAACCCACUCCCAAGAUAACCAGCCCAUUCCUGGAAUAGCCAACCCAGCCCCUGGAUAGCCAGCCCACUUCUGGGACAGCUAACCAAGCCCUGGGAUAACCAAUUCUGUCUCGAGGAAACAUAUCCAGUCUUUGAGGUAACCAGUCCACUCUGAGAUAACCAACCCACUCCUGAGGGCAGAAUUCUCAUAGCCUGAUCACCUCUCAACCCUGCUGCACCAGGAAUUAAGCUUUCAGGGGCUGAACUGAACUUUGGGGGCCACUUACGGCUCAGGGAGCCCCCUGUCCACCUGCUGGCUCUGGGUGCUUCCUCCUCGCACACUGAGCCUGCUACCUUGGGACGAGAUGGGCAGAGCAGGCUGCCUUGGAGUCCCCAAGUCGCUCCGAGAUUCGCCCACUUCCUCAGUCCCAGGCCAGAUUCCCCGGGAAGAAGUUUGAUUGGCUAGCCUGGGCAGGUGAUCAGCCAUGGCCCGAGGUGAUUGGAUCAUUCUGAACACAUGAGAGCUGGAGCUGCCCCCCCCCCACCCCGCUGGAUCGUGGAGUGUUAAGGACUUGGUAGCUGAACCCCCAAAGGGAUGCACUUCAGCCUCUGCCCCUUUCCGGAGUCCGCUCCCCAGCCCCCCAGUGUCCCCCAGGAUUCCCCGGUGGGCCAUGGCGCCUUCCACUUCCUGCCGUGCUGGUGCUGGGCAGCGGCCUCUCACUCUGAGCUCUGAGCUCUGAGGCUCCUGCGCGCCCGCGUCGGCAUCUGGACGGGCAUCCAGGAGCCGCCUGUGGGCCGUGCAGGAGCUCAGACCCCUGGGUGCCGUCCUCGGGGCCGAAGAGCGGGACUGGAGUUCCAGGCUGGGCUGUGCGAAGGCGGUCCGGCUCCCCUGGAGCUCCGGGAGUGGACAGUGGUGUUUGGUAAUAGGGGCUGCACGUGAGGGCGCUGCGGGCGCAGCAGCCUGGCGGAGGCCACGGGGAGGCGGGCGGCGCCGGGCCCGCCCUGCGCUUUGCUUUGGCUCAGUUCCUACCUCUGCGAAGCCCCAGGCCAGUGCAGCCCCCACUCCUGCCAGUUGGUGCUGAGGGCCCCCUAGGUCUGUUUUGCAUUGCUGUAUCCAUGGAAAGCCCCUCUGCAGAAGUUAGGGAAAUAGAAACCGACCACAAAGGAGGGCACGGAAGCCACUCAGGCUGACCCCUGACCCCAGCUGACCGCACGGGCUGCUGGGUUCUUCUUCUUGCUUUGGUUUUAAAUGGGCAAAUUUGCAGGGAGAGGGCCGACGCGGGGUCAUUCAGAAGCAACUGUUCUGAAACCUGCUUUUCUCCACAAAGCAAGGUGCUCUUGCCUGCGUGCCCACGCCUUGGCUGCAGAGUGGAGAGAACGCAGCUGCGGUGGUGUUGGGCCCGGAGGCUGCAGCCCCACUCUGCUGGGUUCCUGUGUCUUCUGAUAAAAUCACGGAGCCUCCGCCUCUCAGCGCCCCCAUGGCCCUCCCCUCCAUGGCUGUCCCCGGGCCGCUGGCCCCUCCCCAGCAUGUUCCCACACCUGAGCGCCAGCUCCACGCUGCAAGGACUCGCUGCCAUCACCCUGGCUGGGGACACUCUGCCAGCCACGUGCACAGCCAGACACCAGCAGCUUCCUGCCGCCCUGUCACCCUCUAUGCCCCAGCCCUGCCUGCCCGCUCGCCGGCCCCCUCCCCUGCCUUGCAGACUGUCACCCAGGAGCUGCGUCCAGAGCCCUGUGAGAACUGACCCAUCGCAGACAAUCAUCAGGGUGACCUUGAGCUGCAAAGCUACUGUCCACGUGGACCGGGGCUGAUGUCACACGCCCACUUGCCAGGACCCCUGUGUGCAAACCCAGAGACAUGGCAGCCAACGGCAGCAAGGUGGCCAACGGGCAGAUCGCCACGGAGGUCAGCGAGGCCCCUGUGGCCAACGACAAGCCCAAGACCCUGAUGGUCAAGGUGCAGAAGAAGGGGGCAGAGCUUCCCGACAGGGACAUGUGGAAGGGCCACUUCGACUUCCUCAUGUCCUGUGUGGGCUAUGCCAUUGGCCUGGGCAAUGUCUGGAGGUUCCCGUACCUGUGCAGGAAGAAUGGAGGUGGGGCCUCCCUCGUCCCCUACUUCCUGACGCUCAUCUUCGCUGGAGUCCUGCUCUUCCUGCUGGAGUGCUCGCUGGGCCAGUAUAUGUCCAUCGGGGGGCUGGGCAUCUGGAAGCUGGCCCCCAUGUUCAAGGGUGUGAGCCUGGCUGUGGCCGUGCUCUCCUUCUGGCUGAACAUCACUACAUCGUGAUCAUCUCAUGGGCCAUCUACUAUCUGUACAACUCCUUCACCACGUGGGGUUUGGUCACACGACCGUGUCCUUGCAGACACUGCUGGAAACAGUGUGAUAACCCCUGGAAUACCGACCGCUGCUUCUCCAACUACAGUAUCGUCAACACCACCACCAUGACCAGCACCAUGGUGGAGUUCUGGGAGCACAACAUGCAUCAGAUGACUGAUGGGCUGGACAAGCCGGGCCAGAGCGCUGGCUGCUGGCCAUCACCCUGGCCAUCGCCUGGGUCCUGGUGUAUUACUGCAUCUGGAAAGGUGUGGGCUGGACCGGAAAGGUGGUCUACUUCUCAGCCACUACCCCUACACCAUGCUCGUCAUCCUGUUCUUCCGUGGAGUCACACUGCCUGGCGCAAGGAGGGCAUCGUGUUCUACGUCAUGCCCAACUUCCGUAGUGAGCAGCCUGGGGUGUGGCUGGAUGCAGCUACGCAGAUCCUCUUCUCCUAUAGGCUGGGCCUGGGCUUCCUGAUCGCCAUGGGCAGCUACAACUUGUUCCACAACAACGUGUACAGGGACUCCAUCAUCAUCUGCUGCAUCAACUCCUGCACCAGCAUGUUUGCCAGCUUUGUCAUCUUCUCCAUUGUGUGUCGCUCCCCCUCUUUGUGGAGGAACGACACAGGACCCCGCGCUGUUCUUUCGUCUGCUCGGUCCUUCCCGGGUUUGCUGCUGGUCCUUCCCGGGUUGGCUGCCGUCCCUCCACCUCCGUGGAAGGGCGGCUCCCCCUGCCACUUUCCCCACUUCCGUGGGGGAGCGGCACACCGCCGGCCGGCUCUCUCGGAGGCUGCUCAGAUGUUACCCGGAUGUUCCCCUUAGAUGUUCCUGGUGCAUGUUGUCUCUCUCCUCCUUUAUAGUCCUCUUCCACCAAUCCCAACUCUGCUACCCACACGCCGAGUACGCUGCUCUCCUGCAAUCAGGAGCAGGAUCAGCUCCUGCAGGUUAUUGGUCGAACUGGAGGCAGCUGCGUAAAAGUUGUUUACUCCUCUCCCAGCGCCAUAUUGUGGGAAAGCACAUGCAUAGAAUAAGUCUUAAUUCCAGUAACUUAGUCUAGUCCAAGUUGCUCCCCACAAUUGUGGGCUUCAUGCCCACGUCAAAAAGUCCAUUACUGAUGUGGCGGCCUCAGGUCAGCGCUGCCCACCUCGGGGCCAGGGGUUGGGAGUGGGGCUUGCCUUGUCCUCACCCUAUGGGUGGCAGAGCACUCACUGCCUGCCAGACACUGCCCCCUGAUCUUCCCAGCUCUCUGCAGUAGGUGCUAUGUCCCCAUGUCACAGAUGGGGAAACUGAGGCUCGCCAAAGCCGCCUGCCCAAGCUCAGAGCUCAAAAGGGGUUUGUGCCCAGAUCAGUUUGACUGUAAAACCUCUUUGUCUCCCAGCCACACUGAUGCUUCCUGCAUGGCCCUGGAUUUUGUAGGGGAAAAGACCCGCUCCUGUGCCCGGGCCUUUAAGGCUUGAUCUAACCACGCCAUGUUUCCAGCCAUGAUGCAAACUCCCUUUGUUAGGGUCUGAAAAAGCCCACUGCCCGAGGAACAACUCCAAGAGACUUUUUCUCUCAUGCAACCAGCAAAGGGUUAAAUUUAUUGAUCCAACAUGUUGGGGCCCUCUGACAAGGACAGAGGAGCAGUGAGGAACUACAGCAUAGGGUUUAUAAAGGCAAAAACCGCAAAAUCGGGAAGGGGGAGAGAAUACACGGUUGCUAAGCGGUUGCUAAAAUCUUACAAUCAGCAAUUAUGAUCUUAAGACACAGACAAAUCACAUCUUCAUUAUUAGCCCAGGUAACGCAGGUGCAACCUUUCUACUUUUAAGCUUGAGCAAUCAUGCUAGGGGGUUUUUGUGUGUUGCCAAGGGUGAUGUAGUGCACUGCUAUUGUCUGACUAUUUGAGAUCAUAGUUUCAGACUAGAGUCUCACGGUGGGGGGUGCUUUCCCAGAAUGGAGUCUCAAGUGCUCCAAAAUGGAGCCCCUACUGUCAAGGUGCUACUUCACUCUGUUUUAUUUUUACAGCUGCACCAGGAAGUUUUAAACCUGUAAGCUUAAGCUUAACUUUUUACACCCGCACAUAUACAAUUUUAACUCUUCACCUUGAGUCUGCUUUUAUCCUGGCUCCCAGAACAGUCUCUCCAGGUGGGUUGUGCACACUUAGCUUGCCUCAGUCUCAGUGCCCCAGGGCCCAGGGCAACCACAGGCAGCCUCCCCCAUCCCCAGGGGCGGGGCCAGCAGCAGGCAGGAGGUCCACUGUGUGCACAAAGGUUUCCCUGAGCUCUCUGGAGGGGACAGAGCUUGAUCCCCGGAGCACUGGGUGGGGCCUGGGGAAAGGACGUUGAGCUCCUGGACAAUGGCAGCUCCUCCCCCUCUGGGCCUCCCCUGGCCCCUACAGAGCCACACCCAGGCAGCUCCGAUGUCUUUGUUUCUCAUUCUUUGUUUCCCCUGCUCCUGGACACCCCUGCCAGACACUCAAACACCACCUGUCCUGGACACACCUCCCAUGCCUUCCCCCAGCCUGUGGUCCCCCUCAUGAGAAGGGUUCCCAACCAGUUUCCAGGCCAGAAACCUCAGCAAGCAUUGCCCUGUGCUCUCCCCUCACCCCAGCCUGAAGCCUUUGGCCUCCCAAGUGUCCCCGCAGGGGCCGCCUCUCUGCAUGUGCCCCGCCCCUGCUGAUGGCCAGCCCGCUGCAGUCCCCCACCUGGACAGUGAGCCCCUCACCUGCAGCCUGCACCAUGGCCUGGCUGCCCAGCGGUGACUCUGACGUGAGGCUUAGGGACUGGUGGCUGUGCUGGGGCUGGUGCGGGUACCCACCACGCUGCCCCUCGUUCUCACAGGCCCGGGGCUGGCAUUCCUGGCGUACCUGGAGGUGGUGACCCAGCUGCCCAUCUCUCCGCUCUGGGCCAUCCUCUUCUCCAUGCUACUGAUGCUGGUCAUCGACAGCCAGGAGACCACCCCUCUCCCAGGCCCCUCCCCCCCCAGAGGAGGACUCAGAAUCUCAGACCCCUAGAAUAUCCCUGAAGCAGCCCUGUGAACUGGCCAAGUCCAGCAGGGGAAAUGGAAACCCAGAGGGAGGGGACUCCGCUGAGGCCCCCAGGGUAGCAGGGGCAGCGUCAUGCUGGACCCUGGGCCACCCCCCCAGCCCUGCCGUCUGGGUGCUGCUCAGGCUGUGGCUGGUGGGUGGGGCCGCGGUGGGCGGGCGGCUGACCCCGCCCCCCUGCAGUUCUGCACCGUGGAGGGCUUCAUCACGGCCCUGGUGGACGAGUACCCCAGACUGCUGCACAGUUGCCGGGAGCUCUUCACGUCGCCGUCUGCACCGUCUCCUACCUGAGCAGCCUCUCCAACAUCACCCAGGUGGGCUCCCGCUGCUGCCCUGGGGCCCUUUCAACACCCCCUCUGCCUCCACAGAGCUCUCUGCUGAGCCCCGGACACACGGCACUGAGGCAGACGGCGUCCUGCCUUCCGGGGGCUCCCUGGCUGUCAGAGACGCAGAUGCUGAGAAGGACAGCGUAGGACAGAGCCAGAGACCGCAGCAGGCAGCCUGGCCUCUGCUUCCCGGCAGCCCCCCUGGAGUCGGGCCUUCGAAGUGAACACUGCCACUUGUUGCAUCCGUGAACAUGUGUCUGUGAACUGUACACUCACCGUGAACGACUCUCACGACCCACACGGCCACCCGUGGGCCCAGGAGCCACUGUGAUCUCGGGUUCCCUCACUCGCACUUGGGAACACCGGCUGUGGGCCACAUGUGUGACACUGGGAACCCAGCAACAGUGUGAGAGCCACUGCCAAGUCUACUCUCUUGGAGCUUGAGUUUCAGUGGGGACGGGGCUGACAGAUGAGGUGCCUGCAAAGUGCCAGGUGCAGUGGAGCAGAGUGGAUACAGCAGGACGGGAAAUGGCCAGCAGGGGGCCGGGAGGCCUCUACCUGGCACAGGGGAUGGUGGGGGAGGUCUCUAAGGAAGUGACAGGUGAGCAGGUGAGCGGAGACCUAGAUGAGGAGGGACAGCCAGGGAGGGGAGGAGAGCAUGGCAGGUGCAAAGGCCCUGAGGGUGAGGAACAGAAAGGAAGCCAGUGUGGCAGGGAGUGGAGCAGAGCCUUGCAGGCCAGGCCAUUUGAGUUAGACUUGAUUUGACGUCUCCCUGCUUAGUUAUGUACCAUGUUAUUACAUGUGUGCUGGGAGGUUCUCAGCAGGGGAGAGGUAGGACCGAGUCAUGCAUGGACAGACGGCGCUGGGGAACGGCCCCCAGGCCUGGCCUGCUCACGAGGCCCAGGCAGUCUAUUAUGAGCCCGGCUUCCCCAGCGGUGCUGGGUGCCAGGGGGCCCAGAUGUGGGGGGGGCGCUCUCAUGCUCCCUUCCUCUCACAAGGGGGCAUUUACGUCUUCAAACUCUUCAAUUACUACUCCACCAGCAGCAUGAGCUUGCUGUUCCUUGUGUUCUUCGUGGGUUUUUUUUUUUUUGACAGGCAGAGUGGACAGUGAGAGAGAGAGACAGAGAGAAAGGUCUUCCUUUGCCGUUGGUUCACCCUCCAAUGGCCGCCACCACCGGCGCGCUGUGCUGAUCCAAAGGCAGGAGCCAGGUGCUUUUUCUGGUCUCCCAUGGGGUGCAGGGCCCAAGCACUUGGGCCAUCCUCCACUGCACUCCUUGGCCACAGCAGAGAGCUGGCCUGGAAGAGGGGCAACCGGGACAGAAUCCGGCGCCCCGACCGGGUCUAGAACCCAGUGUUCCGGCGCUGCAAGGCGGAGGAUUAGCCUAGUGAGCCGCGGCGCCGGCCCCUCAUGUUCUUUGAAUGUGUCUCCAUCUCCUGGUUCCACAGUGAGCCUCCACCCCUGCUCCUUUAUUCAUUCAUUCAUUCACUCAUUCGUCAUUCAGCAGAAGCAGCUGGGACAGCAGGCCCUCUCCCUGCACUGUUCAAUCCCUGUGCUCACACAGCUCAGCGUGGUGGGUGCACCAGUUCCGUGUGCAGAAGACAGAGCAACAGUUAGGGUGUGGGCAUGCGACAGAGAGGCUAAGGGGCUGCGUGGACACCCGUACGUAUUAGGGUUCAAGACUGGGCUCCAUGUCCAGUUCUAGCUUCCUGCCAACGUGCACCCCGGGGAGACAGCUGGUAAUGGUGCAGGGCUUGGGUCCCUGCUGCCCAUGGCGGGGGGGGGGGACCUCUGCUGAGUUCCAGGUUCCUGGCUGAGGUCGCACCUUGCCCCCACUGCUAUGCACAGGGAAGACUCCUGUCCAUCACUCUGUGUCUUUAAAAUACAUACGACUCCACGGAGAACAGAUAAAUACUUCAUGUAAGCAGGGAGCCAACUAGUGUCCGUUGUGGGAUAAAAAGUCUUGUUUCACGUCGGAUCUGUAAAACGGGAGACGGAAGUAUAGAGCUGACAUCAUCCGCCUGACAAAAGCUGCCAUGAUGGAAAGCCUACAUCGUCCCUGGGGGGAAAAAACGAAGGAACCAGGGUUUCCUUUCCGUCGUGCCCCAAAUCUCCGGAGCCCAGGGCCCAAGGGUCCGAGGCCGCCCCUCCUGCCUCUCUGCUGGACCAGAGAGCCCAGAGCGUGGACGGAGAUGGGCAGCGCCACAUCCCCCAGCGCUCGCCCGGUCUUGCUUCCACCCCGACCCGACCCAGACCACCAGCCUCCGGGACUUCGCAUGCGCAGUGCUCCCUUGGAGAACUUACUCUCGCGAGGCCUAGGGUUCUCGUAGUCAUGCGCAGAUCUCCGCGGUGGGCUGCACUUCCGGCCCGCCCAGCCAUACCUCGGAGGAGAGGCGGGGCCUGUGGGAGGGGACCGCGACCCCUGACCUUCCGUGGCCAGUGAAUGUCUCCACCUGCAGGGGGCUGGCUUUUCUCCCUGGCGCGCGUGCUAUGGGCUUUGACGGUUCGAAGGGUGCUGGGGGCGGCGGCCUGCAGACCCCACAGCUCAGCGGUGCACCCCGCGCUUGCGCCUGUGUCGCAGGUGUGAACCGUUUCUACGACAACAUCCAGGAGGUGGUGGGCUCCAGGCCCUGCAUCUGGUGGAAGCUGUGCUGGUCCUUCUUCAACCCCAUCAUCAUAGCGACAUGGAGACAAGACCCAAGAGCAAGGAUUCAACUUCAGUGCAAGAUUUUUCCAAAGAAGAUUCCUGCCAGGUUGCAAUAAUAGAGAGACUGACAAAGAAUAAUGGCUUGGAAACAGCUCUUGAAUGUGACAGUUGGUUAGAGAAUAUGCAAGGAAGUCAGGAGAGACACUUGAGAGAAACGUUCACCCACAUGAAUUCAUUACCUGAAGAAACAGAUCAUGAACAUGACGUUUACUGGGAGAACUACAGUCAGAAGUCUGUUCUUGCCACUCAAGACAGAGUUCCCAGAGGAUCCUUUUCCUUUCAUACACUUGAUAAAAGAUUGAAACAGAAGUUGAGCUUAAUGAAAAAGCAGAGAACUUUUAAAGAGAAAAAGCCUCAUCAGUGCAAUGAUUGUGGUGGACCCUUCACUUACCAUUCAGUACUUAUUCGACACCAGAGAGUCCACACUGGAGAGAAACCUUACACCUGCAGUGAAUGUGGGGAAUCUUUUAGCCACAGAGCUAAUUUAACAAAGCAUCAGAGAACUCAUACUAGAAUUCUCUUUGAGUGCAACGAAUGCAAGAAAACCUUCACAGAAAGCUUGUCCCUUCCAGUUCAUCAGAGAAUUCACAUUGGAGAAAGACCUUAUGAGUACAGCGAAUGUGGGAAGGGUUUUAACCGAAGUACACAUCUUGUGCAACCUCAGUUGAUUCAUACUGGAGUUAAGCCGAGUGUAAUGAAUGUGAUAAAGUGUUCCUUCAUUUAUCAGCACUCAUUAAACAUCAAAGAACUCAUACUGGAGAGAAACCCUAUAAAUGUCAAGAAUGUGGGAAAGCCUUUAGCCACUGUUCAUCCCUUACUAAGCACCAGAGGGUUCAUACCAGGGAAA
This is a non-coding RNA of Oryctolagus cuniculus (rabbit), 37966 nucleotides long. The record is from RefSeq and is a predicted model, not a curated record. NCBI's taxonomy places the organism in Eukaryota, Metazoa, Chordata, Mammalia, Lagomorpha, Leporidae.